This 422-nucleotide ribosomal RNA is filed under the name Nycteribiidae sp. LRC-2002. Its description in RNAcentral is "eukaryotic LSU rRNA". Lineage: Eukaryota; Metazoa; Arthropoda; Insecta; Diptera; Nycteribiidae. The record is from RNAcentral.
AACUGCUUAGAGGUUAAACUCGAUGAACCUGAAUAUUCAUUAUGUGAAAAAUUCAUCAUUACGAUUAUGCUAUACGUUUUGGAAUAAAAACAAAAUAAUAGUAUAAUAAUGGUGUGCACUUUUUUCACAUCACGAACAUUGUAAUCUAUUAAUUGUAAUUAUAAUUGAUUUAUCAAACGGGUGCAUAUAUGAAAUUGCUUAUUUGAUCUUUGGUAAAUUUAUUUAUUGAAGUAUCGAAUAAAUUUCGAAAUGUGCACCCUGAUAAAGUUUUAAUAGAUUUUAAUAUUAUAUAAUGCUAAAAUAUAUGUAUAUAUAUUUUGCAAAGAGUUAUAGUCGUCUAUAUAUAAUAUAAUAUGUGGCGCUAUAUCGAAUUGCUUGCAUUCAUAUAAUUAACAAUGCGAAAGAUUCAGGAUACCCUCGAG